Long non-coding RNA from Amphiprion ocellaris (clown anemonefish), 2694 nucleotides. RefSeq lists it as uncharacterized. The record is from RefSeq and is a predicted model, not a curated record. The transcript has 4 exons. NCBI's taxonomy places the organism in Eukaryota, Metazoa, Chordata, Actinopteri, Pomacentridae.
GGGUAUCAGAGGACCAUCACUACUGGUAGCAUCUCUGGCUGCUGUUCACCUUGUUUUUGGAGUAAAACACGGUGGAAGCUGAAUUAGUGAGGAUGACUCCUGCUCCUGUCAUCUCUAAGCUCCUCACACAUCUUUACCUGCACAUGAGGAAAAUCACUCCUGUAGAAUGCAGAUGUUCAGAGGGAGAUGAUGCCACAUCUGGUCCAGCCGAUGGAAGGUCUUGAAGUUCUCUGACUGGCCUCGACUGAAGAUGGUCGUCUCACUGGAUUUAAGGUUCAGAUGCUCAGUAACAAACUCCACCAAUGAGCCAACAGGGAAGCUUUAGGUUUAUUAAAUGUUGCUAUAAAGGUUUUGCUGUUUUUCUUUGUGAAUGCAAUGUGCUCCAACUGAAACUUGAAUUAGAACUUAGAAGUAAAUCCUUCCAUCUGAAAGGAUUUAGUUGCAUUAAUAACCUCAUAACAUUCUAAUUUUUAUUCCAGUCUUGGUUGGAAAUAGAAUCUCUGUAUUGAUUCAGGUAAAAACUGAACUUCACAGCAUGUUGGAGCAAAACAACCAGAUGAAAACUGUGAUGGUGUUGGAUUGUCAGACCAUAAUGUUGCAGCUCAAAGCAGCUUUUCUAGCUCAGUUCAUUCUGACAUUCAGCUAUGAAUCAACACAGCAGAUGGUGAUCCAUGCUGUGGAAGUCUCACAUCUCCUGAUUUAAUGGAGCUGCUUUGCACUUUUUACACUGUUUAUUCACCAACACUUUAUUUAAUAAAAGUCCCAUCUAGUUUUUAUGAGGAAUGUGAUGUUUUAAUUUCUCUGUGAAUAACUGCAGUCUAAUGGAACAGCUGGAGUUGUAACAUCUGUCCUGAUAUUGAUCAUGAAGUAUUGAUCAGAAUACUUAUGGUCAGCAGUCAUCCCUGAAGUUUUAUAUUAAAAUCUUUACUUGUGUUGUGAACUUUGGUAAGAAGCAGAAACAUUAGUGUUGCCAUGGAUACAUGAGUGUUAAAUUCUGUCCAUGUUUCCAUUUUGGGAAAUGCAGUCCAGUUCCAGAAUGUGGAGGAAUUUAGUCUCAAUCACAGUCAACAAAUAUUAUCUGAAAGUCGGGUUAUUGUUGUUUAUCAGCACAAUACAAAAGAUUAAUGUUAGAAAUAUUCUAGUUAAGACUGUAGAAUAUCAGGAGUUAUGUAAAUUUACCUCAAUAAUAUGAAUGUUCAGUUUGAUUGUGCAGUGAUUUUUAUUAUGUAAGUUUAGCUGAUUAAAGUUUAGGACUCUGCACUAAAAUAUUAUUUAAAUUGACAUCAUUAUUAUAAUAUGUAGGGUCAGACUCUACAGUAUUGAGAUUAAGGAAUCAAAUAUUCUAUAAAAUGUAAAUACACUGAACUCAUUUGGAUAUAUUUAAGUGAGACUCUACAAUAUUUGACACAAAUCUAUCUAAAUCAAAAUUUUAAUCAUUUUUACUCCAAACAUUUACUGGACUGAUUUAAAUAUUAAAAUCACUCCUUUCUAAUCCUCUGCUGUACGUUCAAACCUGAGGCCUUAAAUAGAAACACACAAGUAUCUGAUUGAAGGAACUUCUGCAGAGUCCUGGUUCCAGAACAUGAUGAUAGAAUUAUAGACAAACUUUACCAAAAUCUGCCUGAGAGUUUACGGGUUUUUAUGUUGGAUUUCUUCAGUAAUUUAAUGAGUUAUCAGCAAAAAUCAAGUGUUCAUUUGAUUAACUUCAUUUCCUAAAACAUCCAGAAUUAGAGCUCAUGUCUUUGGCAGCUGUAAAGUUUCUGCUCCUUCAAAGUUCACAACACAAUGAAUGAAUUUCUAAAACACUCUCAGUGCUGGAGAGCGUUUGUGAUGCUGAAGCAGUGACCAGUUUUUCUGUUUCUUCUCUGGAGAUGCACAAUGAGGGACGUCUGCAGCGACUGAGAAAGAGUCUCGCCACAUCCUGACAUGAGGAAAAAGACUUUAUUGAAGACUACAAUGAGAAAAACUAUCAGACCGCAGACGGCUGCAUUCAAGGUGAGCUCUGAACAUUUGAUCUGGAACAGGAAUUCAAUAACGGCAGCAUGAGCUUCAUUUCAGUCUGUAGCUGCUGAAUUCAUGGAUGAAUCAUCUGGCACUAGAGAGGAAGACCAUCAAACAUCCACGUCAGCUGAUGGAGGUCCAAGAGUCUCACCGAACAAACAACCUACAGAGUGAAGACCUCAAAUCUGAUUGGACGGCCUCCUAUUCAGCCACAUUUUAGGCUGUUAGAUUGUUCCAGAUAAGACAAGUACAAGAUACUUCAGAGCCGUUCUACCACGAGCCUGACAGGAAGAACUCCAACAGCUACUGAAUGUUCCUGUGGUCCCCUCAAGGCUACAGGAGGAGCCCUACGAGGACGAGCCGGUCCACCUGAUGGCGGCCAGUCGCUGCGGUUCAAAGCCAACACCGACUACAUGGACUUCUACUGGACCACACGGAGGCCUUCAAACCAGACCAACAAGUUCAGCGACUCCCCGACUCGUGGGUCUGAGGACGCUGCCGAGCCUCGGUCCAGCCGGCCUCCUGUCUGUGGAUGUUUGAGUGCUGAGAGGUUUGUGGAUGCAUGUGAACAUGUCUGUGUUGAAACAGCAGCUUUGGACUCAGUAACGCUGGGAAAAACCAAGAGCUCCUUUAUUUGUGACUUCCAUUAAAAAACUGAUGAAAAUAAGUUUGCCAGGGUUCUGACUGAUAACA